Hippopotamus amphibius kiboko is the source of this 533-nucleotide long non-coding RNA. RefSeq lists it as uncharacterized. The transcript is spliced from 3 exons. The record is from RefSeq and is a predicted model, not a curated record. NCBI's taxonomy places the organism in Eukaryota, Metazoa, Chordata, Mammalia, Artiodactyla, Hippopotamidae.
UUUCUGUAAGCCCUUCGGAAGCCUUGUUCUGGAUCUAGUUCACAAGAAAAGAAGCCAGAUAUAGUAGGAAAAGUAUGGGUUUUGGAGUCAGCAUAUCUGAAUAAUUGGAUGAUGCUCCUUUACACUCUAGGACAGUUUGAAAGAAAUUACAGAGAAGAAAAAGCCUGCUUGGGAAGGAAGAGAACUGGAUGGGUCAACAGCCAGAAAUGACGAUGGAUGCUGGCUCCCACAGCAGCAGACUGCGUCUAGUUCAUCUUCCUUCCAGUUCUAAGCUGGGAUCCAAGCCUGGUGUGGGCUACGGUAUGCAGGCUUUGAACUUCCCUGGCAUUUGUACGAAACAGUGUGAUCCAACUGGUAGCAGAAAUUCCAUGUUUAUGCAGAACAACAUCUGCAGAUUUUAUCUCCAGUACAGCCCGGUUACAGUCACACUUGGUAUUUGAAGAAUGAAAUGAAGCAACCACAGAAAGAGAUAAAAUGGCAAGUACUCUCUGUCUGGAGUCUCUGUAGCUGUUUCAAAUACAAAUAGGCUUCAC